CAGCAGUGGGGAAUAUUGCACAAUGGGCGCAAGCCUGAUUCUUUCCUAGGAGAUGACCGCGAGUAUGAAGAAGGCCUUCGGGUUGUAAAGUACUUUCAGCGGGGAGGAAGGGGAGUAAAGUUAAUACCUUUUUCUUAGUACGUACCCGCAGAAGAGCACCGGCAAACCUCCUAACUCCUGUG
Molecule: ribosomal RNA, 182 nt
Filed under: uncultured bacterium
Lineage: Bacteria
Description: partial 16S ribosomal RNA
Rfam family: Bacterial small subunit ribosomal RNA
Source: RNAcentral